RNAcentral lists this non-coding RNA (27 nucleotides) under Cricetulus griseus (Chinese hamster). The record is from RNAcentral. Lineage: Eukaryota; Metazoa; Chordata; Mammalia; Rodentia; Cricetidae.
UUAAAAUGUAGAAAUCUGCCUAACCAG